This 87-nucleotide transfer RNA is filed under the name Escherichia coli. Its description in RNAcentral is "tRNA-Leu". It matches the Rfam family "tRNA". Rfam says of the family: Transfer RNA (tRNA) molecules are approximately 80 nucleotides in length. Their secondary structure includes four short double-helical elements and three loops (D, anti-codon, and T loops). Lineage: Bacteria; Pseudomonadati; Pseudomonadota; Gammaproteobacteria; Enterobacterales; Enterobacteriaceae. The record is from RNAcentral. RNAcentral also lists the same sequence under 17 other names.
GCCCGGAUGGUGGAAUCGGUAGACACAAGGGAUUUAAAAUCCCUCGGCGUUCGCGCUGUGCGGGUUCAAGUCCCGCUCCGGGCACCA